This is a long non-coding RNA of Strigops habroptila (Kakapo), 1203 nucleotides long. RefSeq lists it as uncharacterized. The record is from RefSeq and is a predicted model, not a curated record. The transcript is spliced from 2 exons. Lineage: Eukaryota; Metazoa; Chordata; Aves; Psittaciformes; Psittacidae.
ACCUCGCCCGCUCCCGCCUCCCAGCCAAUCACUGCGCUGCUCGCCUCACAGCGAGGGCGGGACAUGGAGGCGGUGGGACAGCAGCGUCCUUCAAUCCCUGGCCGCCUCUCCCUUAGCUACAGCGCGCAGCUGAGGGGACGCCUUCCCGCCUAGCGACCGGCGGCCAAUCAGCGGUGCCCCUCGGUGUGAGGGGGCGAUGGCGGCGGCCGGGGAGGAAGAAGGAGAAGGUGGCGGCAGCGGCGGCGGCUGAAGCGCGGCUUUAUCUUCGACAGAUGCGCGGCUGUGAAGCUUAGCGGGGCUCGGCUCAGCUCAGCUCAGCUCGGCGCGGGGCCGUCCAGGAGCUGCUGGGCGAAGGCUUGUUCCGGCUUUGAUACCCCAUAGUGAUCCAGAGAAACUCAUCGACACUCCAUAGAGCCCCGUACACCCUGUAGACAUCCCAUAGAGAUGUAUGGUGACCGAUAGACACCUGACAGCAACCCAUGGACCCUCCAUAGCGACCCAUAUAGAUCCCAUAGUGAGACAAGGAAGUACAAAAUGAAAUAUAAUCCUUUGUAAAUAAGAAAAUUCAGUUUUAAGUAACUUUAAGCUUGGUAGCUUUGUACAUAACAACAAAACUUUCCAAACUUAAAAAGCCCAACCAAAAGGACAUAAUAAGGAUCCUUGUAUAAGAUAAAUCUUUGUAGCUGACAUAGUUUUAGAACCUUAUGACCUUCAUACAAAAUUUAUUGCAACCAAAACAGAACUGUAGCUAAAGAGUAUCUGAAACUAGCAGAUGUUCAGGAGGUGCUGUAGCGAAGUUAACUGGUAAGUAGAAGGACAAGGAGAAAUCACUCACUUAUGUCAGCAGUGUUACUGAACUAAUUAAGCUGGUGUAAGCAUUUUCCUACUGCGCAUGCUUCAAAGACUUCCCGAACAAAGUUCAAGGAACGGCCAAGUGAUGAAGAUUGUUGGAAGAAGUAAAAUGACCACCAAAGACCACUACCAUGUUGUUAUGUGCAUGCGAAAAUGGGUGUGUAAUUAUGUAAAACAAUUCUCAGACAACUAAUGAAUAUGUAUGACAUUUAUUGGAAAUGUAAUGAAUAUGUGUGUUAAGCAACAAUAUAAUCACGGUCUGUUUGAUGCUUAAACGAGACACACAUUAGGAGGAGAUAUCCCUGGUGUCUCCCAGUGCUGCAAUAAAGAAAACCUGCUUGUCAACUUAAA